RNAcentral lists this ribosomal RNA (468 nucleotides) under uncultured bacterium. Its description in RNAcentral is "partial 16S ribosomal RNA". It matches the Rfam family "Bacterial small subunit ribosomal RNA", at positions 28 to 507 of the family's 1533-position model. The record is from RNAcentral.
GACGAACGCUGGCGGCGUGCUUAACACAUGCAAGUCGAACGGAAAGACCCUGCUUUUGUGGGGUGCUCGAGUGGCGAACGGGUGAGUAACACGCGAGUAACCUGCCCUUGACUUUGGGAUAACUUCAGGAAACUGGGGCUAAUACCGGAUAGGAGCUCCUGCUGCAUGGUGGGGGUUGGAAAGUUUCGGCGGUUGGGGAUGGACUCGCGGCUUAUCAGCUUGUUGGUGGGGUAGUGGCUUACCAAGGCUUUGACGGGUAGCCGGCCUGAGAGGGUGACCGGCCACAUUGGGACUGAGAUACGGCCCAGACUCCUACGGGAGGCAGCAGUGGGGAAUAUUGCACAAUGGGCGGAAGCCUGAUGCAGCAACGCCGCGUGCGGGAUGACGGCCUUCGGGUUGUAAACCGCUUUCGCCUGUGACGAAGCGUGAGUGACGGUAAUGGGUAAAGAAGCACCGGCUAACUACGUG